AAAAUCCUUGUCCUAGAAACAACUGCCUUUGAAUACUGUUGACUGAAGCAUAUGAAGUAACAAUUAGCUCAGAGGAAGGUCCUGGGUUUGAUGAGGAUGAAACAUAAUUAACUGUAACUUAUUUCAGGUUAAGAUUGUCUAUUCUUUCUCCCUGUUGACUCAAACAAUGGGAUUUUAUGGCAUUUUCCAUAGUCUAUUCCAUCAUCAGUGUUUAAGAGAUACUUAUUGAUUUAACAGUUUUGUCCUUCUCUCAGGAUGUUUAACUGGGUGGUGAAGGUCGUGCCACAUCCUCCUGAUACACAGGAGGAUCUGGGGGAGGCGGCGAUCACGGCGGUAAACCCACAAGCCCAUUAACAUGGACUGAUAAUACACACCUCACAAAUAUCUGCGACUGUAUUUAACAGUGCAAAUAAUCUGAUUGACACUAAAUGUGUUCUGGGGUCAUGACUUACAACAAAUGCAAGUGUUUUACAAAUAUGAAUUCAAACUUUAUACACUUACUGUAACAGGCCAGUAGUUUGAAACCCCUGGCCUAGCAGUUAGCGCACAUGUUCUGACAUAUUGAGUCAUAGUGCUUAUGUGGGUAAAGCAGGUUUGAACCUAGCUUGCAACGUUUUUUUUUUAUCCUAUUCCCUUUUCUACACCUCACUAUUUCUGUCUUUCCUUUCUCUAUUAUACCUAUAAAAGUGUCAAAAUGGCCAGUUCUAAAAUGAAUCUGAAUGUUUUUAUUAUAACUUCAUUAACCAUGAGAUAUAGAAAUAAUAAAACAUAAAAUGAGACAUAAUAAAUGUACUCUCAUAAAUUAAACCUCCAAUUCUUAUACACACACACACACACACACACACACACACACAGCCAGCAUGAGCUCUUUCUGUCUGCCAGGGCUGGAGUUAUUGGCUGGAUCUCACAGGGAAUUGGAAAAGUGGUCCCGCAGCCUGAUGAGAAAUACAUACAGGACAAGACUCCAGAAUCUGAAGAAGUCACAGAGGUUUAUGAGGCAGUGAACCUCCCAGAUCAGGAGCCUUUGCCACAUAUACCAGUAGUAGAACUGAUGUCAGAAGACGAGGCAUCUGAAGUGGAACCAACCGCUCAGUUCCCUCCUAAUGUAAUGAGCUGGAUAAAGAGCGGCUUCCAGAACACUAUUCCGCACCAUGUGACCAGACCCCCAAAUUCCAGUUCUUCCACGCCGAGGUCAUCACAGUGCUCAAACAAAGGUAUUGUUCAAACUGUACGAUACAGAAAAUAUGCUACAUUUUUAAGGAUUGUAACUGUUUAGCUUCAUGUUUGGUUUGGUUCAGUUUAUUCACCUCCUCCAGAGUCAGUAACCAGCGUGACAGAGAUCGAUUCAAAAACUCCCAGGUGAGUCACGUCAAAUUUGAUUAAAGGGAUAGUUCACCCAAAAAUGAAAAUUCUGUCAUUAAUUACUCACCCUCAUGUCGUUCCAAACCCGUAAAACCUCCAUUCAUCUUCAGAACACAAAUUAAGAUAUUUUUGAUGGAAUCUCAUUUUACGUUAAACGGAGGUCGUACGGGUUUGGAACGACAUGAGGGUGAGUAAUUAAUGACAGAAUUUGCAUUUUUGGGUAAACUAACCCUUUAACUCUUUUGCAAUUGCUAUACGAGAAAAUUGGCAUAGAUGUCCACUUGAUGUUCCUCUUGUUUUCAGCAUGAUGGGUUGGAUUGUUCAGGGUCUGGGUCUUUCAAUGCCACAUCCGGUGCUUAAAAACAUAGAAGGAUGUUUGGUAAGUGAGGUGCAAUAGUUUGACUUUAUUAGCUCAGGUUUAAUAGAUAUUUCUCCAAACUGACUCCCUUUCUUUCCACCAGGAGGACGGGAAGAUUAUGCAAAAUGGUGAGUAAGAUGUUCCUCUUUCAACACUGUUUACACAGUUUUUAAUAACAAACUCAGUUUGUUUCCUGGAAACUCUAGCGGGGUUUCAGUAGAAUAUGAAUAUACAGAAAGAUCACUGCAUGGAUAACAACAUGACCUACUCUGUGAGACAUCAAAAUACAAGUAGAAAAACUUCAGGGUGAGCAGUUCUGUUGCAGUGUAGGACAAACUCGUAACUCAGUCCAUCUUCUCCUUCUGUUACAGGGGAGAGGACACUGAGAACCCUUUAAACAAAAGGAGAGAGAGCGCAACACAGCAUUACACAGUCACAGACAAAUGGACAGUGGAGACAGAUGCAUUUAAAGAAGAACAGUGACUUUGUAGCUUUCUUGAAUGACCAGGCAGCUAUGAAAAUCUACUGAAUGUAAUGCCUGACUUUCUCUGUACUGUAUAACAAAUAUAUAUUUUUUAAAACAUUUAUUUAACUUACUGUAUAACUAACCAAAAACAAAUAUAUUUUUAAUAACAUUUAUGUUUAAGUUAGACUCAAUAUUGUAUGAAUAGCUGGCAUCUCUCAGAUGGGUGUUUGUUGUUGCAGCAGUGAUCUUUAUAAACUGACAUUUAGAUUGGAAUGACUGUACAUGUCUUAAAACAUUUAUGAUCCUCAUGAGAUGUAAUUAUCGUUCAUUUUACUGCAAGUGUCCCUAAUAUGUGUUUAAAAAGUACUCAGAUGAAUGAGUAGAAAGAACACAUUAUUUUAAAAAGAGAAAACGUUGUAUUGCCUUGACUUAUAAUUGUGGCUAUACUCUGUGCCUGCUUUUCAGGCUGCUUUUAAGACAUGUACAUUACCAUUCAAAAGUUUUGGGUCAGUACGAUUUUUAUAAAAAAAAUAAAUAAAUGUUUUUAAUAGAAAUUUGUCAUGCUCACCAAGGCUGCAUUUAUUUGAACAAUGAAUUAAUUAUAUUGAACACAAAUACAGCAAAAAUAGAAAUAUUGUGAAAACCUAUUAUAGUUUAAAAUAACUGAAUUCUAUUUGAAUAUUUUAAAGAUGUCAUUAAUUUCUGUGAUGGCAAAGCUGAAUUUUCAGCAUCAUUACACCAGUCUUCAGUGUCACAUGAUCCUUCAGAAAUCAUUCUGAUUUGCUGCUCAAGAAACAGUUAUUAUUAUUAUUAUCAAUGUUGAAAACAGUUGUGCUGCAUGAUGGAAACCAUGAUAAGUUUUUUUCUGGAUUCAUUAAUGAAUAGAAAUUUCAAAAGAACAGCAUUUAUUGGAAAUAUAAACCUUUUGUAACAUUAUAAAUGUCUUACUGUCACUUUUUAUCAAUUUAAUGUAUCCUUGCUGAAUUCAUUUCUUUAAAAAA
Molecule: long non-coding RNA, 3187 nt
Filed under: Sinocyclocheilus grahami
Lineage: Eukaryota; Metazoa; Chordata; Actinopteri; Cypriniformes; Cyprinidae
Description: lncRNA (ENSSGRG00000051059.1)
Source: RNAcentral